Molecule: ribosomal RNA, 481 nt
Filed under: uncultured bacterium
Lineage: Bacteria
Description: bacterial SSU rRNA
Rfam family: Bacterial small subunit ribosomal RNA
Source: RNAcentral
AAAGGAAUAGACGGGGGCCCGCACAAGCAGCGGAGCGUGUGGUUUAAUUCGAGGCUACACGAAGAACCUUACCUGGGUUUGACAUGCUAGUGGUAGUGACGCGAAAGCCGAACGACCCUUCGGGGAGCUAGCACAGGUGCUGCAUGGUUGUCGUCAGCUCGUGCCGUGAGGUGUUAGGUUAAGUCCUGCAACGAGCGCAACCCUUGUCGCUAGUUGUACUUUUCUAGCGAGACCGCCGGGGUAACUCGGAGGAAGGUGGGGAUGACGUCAAAUCAGCAUGGCCUUUAUAUCCAGGGCUACACACACGCUACAAUGGCCGGUACAAUGGGUUGCCAAGCCGCGAGGCGGAGCCAAUCCUAAAAAGCCGGUCUCAGUUCGGAUUGGAGGCUGCAACCCGCCUCCAUGAAGCUGGAGUUGCUAGUAACCGCAGGUCAGCUAUACUGCGGUGAAUACGUUCCCGGGCCUUGUACACACCGCCCGU